Cyanistes caeruleus (blue tit) is the source of this 6600-nucleotide non-coding RNA. NCBI's taxonomy places the organism in Eukaryota, Metazoa, Chordata, Aves, Passeriformes, Paridae. The record is from RefSeq and is a predicted model, not a curated record.
UCUAAGCAACUCCAUUGCAUGACUCAGACUGACAUUUAGAAAGGAACAUCAACAAACAUGUCACCCUCUGUAGCCCUUCAACCAGAUUGAGCUCCAACUCCUCAUAUACAAAGCUGCAUGUAUCAAAGCUAGAAGCAAUUCAAAGCAGAAGAAAGAAGCUGAUGAUAGUCCUUUACCAAAUUCCUUUAUUUCAGUAAACAACUCUGUGGCAGAGCAAGGACCCAAGAAUCCCAGACCCACCAAAACAAUCAUACCUUUGGAGUGACUCAGGCUGAAAAGAAAAUGUUGCCACGUGGAAGCUUCAGUUCUUCUCAGUUGCACAGGGAAAUCUCCACUGCCUGUGCAAGAGCAGCUCCUUUUUAGUGAAGAGCAGACCCUGAACUCAACUGUCUUGCAGUCUUUGGUCAGAAAAUACUGGUCUAUGUUGAGAAGAAUGAACGAGGGAAUUAAUGCCUGUAAUAUGGACUGCAGAAAAGUCACCUACAAGAUAAGAGGGUGACUUGAUCUUUUUGAGAAAAAGAGCAAAAAAGGCUUCCUUAUCUCAUGGCGUUUGUUCUGAAGUAUCAUCUUGUGACUGCCAGAGUCUGCCUUGCAGGAUCAGUCAAUUACAACCUGUGGCUGAUAUCAACUCCUUCCUUUCAGAGGUGGCAUUGUAUUUCCCCAAGUAUGGCUGGUUCCUCUGGGCACUUCAAGGCCUCUGUGCCACCUGUUUGCCUGCUAUGCCUCCAACCCUGUGCUGCUGAUCCCACUCACGUGUUGUGCUGCACAGGAAAUGAUCAGCCCUGCAAUUAGACAGCGAUCUGAAAGGACAAGGAAAUCAAGACAGUGAACCAUGAGGAGCUUGAGUGAGUCACUAUCAGAUAUAUGAGAGUAUGACGAGGAGUGAAUGAGUCCUACCCCUUCUGGAGGGCCCCAGAUUGUUUGUGAACAGUAAUUGUGCAGAUCAGGGGGGAAUCUGCACUGCAAUGAUGAGAGGUGCUCACACAGCUGGGCUCUAUCAGGGUGCUGUGGCUCUCCUCUGUCAGGAAUUUGUCACUAUGCAGCUGUACUUUUCUUCAUUAAAAUGGCCAUGUUAAAUAGCUAUGAGGUUGCUAAAUGCCUACUUUGCUAACUGAUCUUCUCCCCAGCUAGAAGCUUUUUACAGCAGGAGACAUGAGGUUGCUAAACCCAUUAAUUUCUCACAUGCACCCACGUUUCUAAUGUCUGGGGAGAUCCAGCAUUAAAAGUCCUCUGCGAGCCACUGGAAUGAAGAGCACUUCGUGAAGACACUGUAAUUAUUAUGGGAUUUAGGGGUGUGUUGAAAUGAUUCACGGAGAUGUUUCCCAGCCAGCAGGCUCAUGAGGCCAGGUGAGCUCUUCCCUGGAAUGUGAAGCAUGCAGCAUGGCAACUGUGAGAAACAGGUUUGGCAGGACGCUUUAAGCUGUUUGCAGCAGACAGCCUCUUCAGAGCCACAUCCCUGCUUUGCUGAUCUCCCAGCUGGAUGCUCCGCUCUGCCACACUGGCCCUGCUGAGCUGGAGAGGAUGGACACACUGCGCAGGAGCCUUUCUCGAUGGAAGAGGUACCACAUUAAGGUGCACCUGGCUGAUGAGGACCUGAUGAUGCCCCUGACGGUCAGGCCCAGGGACACGGUGAUGGACCUACGGGCUCUCUUGGUACGGGAGGGCAUCACUUCCUGGAAGAAGACAUUUUAUUACAACUCCAGGCAGCUCGAGGAGCACGAGACUCUCAAAGAAGCCAAUAUUCAGAAUGGUUCUGUCCUCCUCCUUGUCAGCAAUAAAAGAUAAUGCCAAAGAGCACAGCCAAAGCCAUGAGAGACGGGGAGUGUGAGAAGGGCUGAAGGAAAGCAGAUGGAAGAGAGCUUGCCCAUGGAAAGGCAGUCUGGCCACCAGUGUUGCGCAGUUGCUGCCUUUCUUCAGAGCAGGAAGAGCUGGUUUGAUGCAUCUUAUCACAUGGGAAAAAGUAGGAAAAAACCCACAAACCACCUAGAAAGAGCCACAGGACCAGCAUAAAAAGAGGUGUGGACAAGACCAAGGACCAGCACUGGAAGGUGUGUUAGGUCUUGAGUGUAUUGCAAGAUGGAAUAGUUUGCAACUUCACAGUGCUGCUCUGUGGAUGGGACUGCUGGUUGUUGGGACUGUGUACCUUCAGGAUCCUGCUGCUGAUGGAGCAUCAUAGACAGGAUUAUCCAAAGCACUGCUGUUUACCUCUGCCUUGGAGCUUCAGCCAGGCCUUUCCAGCAGCUUCUUCUCUUGAGCUUCAUGAGCAGAAGACAAGCCCAGGCAGGUCAUCUCCACAUGUGACUGUGCUCUAGUCAGGCAGCUCAGGCUGAGGCACGUUUCAGUGGCUCCUUGGUGCUUCUCCUGUACCUGAGACAUGCAUGCAUCAAAUGUUUCAGUUUACAGGGCAAUCAACCUGGCAGCUUUCCUUGCUAAAUUUACUUUUUAGAGUUACAUCAGUGCUGUAUCCAGAGGGAAUGGAGGAACAGAUGCAGCUUGUGAAGUCUGGCUUUAAUUCACCCUCCUCAUUUAAUUUCCUGCCCAGCCUACUAAUCAGUGAGUCUGCACUAGUGGCUUUGGGAAUACCAAGGUUUUUCCACAUCCAGAAGAAUUCAAUAUAGUGGCUGAACUCUCAGGGUCUCAAGCAGGUUGUGUCACUUUGCUUUGAGACCACUUCAUUAUGGAUUUCCCUCCCCAAGGAGCACUUGCAGACAUUCUCCAGCUCAUGGCAGCUGCACCUCAUUUCCUUGCAGGGCCCGCUGGUGCAGGGAAGUUGUGUCACAUUAUCCUCUCUUAGCCUGUGUGGCAUUCCCUUCUGGAAGUGCUUUCCUUCAAAGUUUUCAGCCCCAGGCCUUGAUUUUCAGGGCCACACACUUCUUUCUGGGGCUGUGCCCAGGGCAGCUCUGCUGUGCUGGCAGAUGUGCUGCUGGGGCCAUUUGGGCCUUGUCACCUCCCAGGGCUUCCAUGGGCACCAGCAGAGCCUGGCAGGGGCUCCUUCCUCCCUCACAGGGCCCUGAGAGUGUCAUUUCCAGGUACUCUUUCUCCAAGGACACUGGCACCAUCUCAGCCCAGUGGUGCUGUCAGGCACUGCCUCAGACAUUCAGGGCUGUCAAGAAGUGCCAGUGAAAAGGUUUCUGGCACUUUUGCUUUGUUUAAGCAGACUUCCUCUGUACUGGGUUUUUUUGGGCUCCUGUUAAUUCCAGGCAGUGCUACUCUGUUGUUUAAUCAGCCGGUGUCAAAGCUCUGGGACACAGGAAGGCUGCCUUUGCCUGGUAGUACCUAUUUGGUGAUACAACUGCUUUACCUCAGGUAUUAUAAUCUGUACCAGAUUGCUCUUUGCCUGCUAAAAUGGACAGUUCAGAUCCAGUUGUAAUGCAAAUUGCACAGUAGAAUAAAAGCCUGUGGGGAACAAAAUCCCAAAUAAGUAGUUAUGUCAGCCUUUGUUAUGGCGUGAUGGCUUCAACUCUGCUCGUGCUCUGUGAAGGAUCAAGAGGAAAGAAUCUGUUGUGCCUUUGUGCUUUAUAGGCAGGAGCUCGAUGUGAGGCUGCCUUUAGGCACUGGCGGCCCUGACAGUGUGUGUGUGUGUGUGUGUGUGCGCGCGUGUGUGUGUGUAAACCUAACGGACAAAUUACACCCACGCUGGAAAUUUGAUGAUUGCCUUGUUUUUUCAAGGCUCUGUUUUAUAUACUACAGGCCAAACCCAUGGGGUAAUUGCCAGUCUCUGCACAGGGGCUGAGAUGACAUGAUGAGAGAGAAGCAUAGAGAUGCUGAAAUUUCAAUCUGCCACAUAAUGUGCUUCUAAUCCUGAUGGCCUUGUAAUUGUGAUGCUGUCACUGGUACCAUUGCAGUUGUUCUUGUCACUGUUUUCCCAUGUUUGGUGCUAAAUAUUGUAAAUGUAGAGAAAUAUUUAGAUUUGUAAAGGAAUCUAAAUUUACAGUGGAAAUAAUCACACAGGAGCCUGAAAAUGGAAGAGGUAUGUUUUCAUUUCAAAUGGCAAGUCAUAGCAAUGUAAAGCAAUAUUCUGUUGAUACAGCUGCUCUUACUGCUUUGCUUUAUCCCAGGCCACGGGUAACGAAGAAUGAAGCUGAAUAUUUUCUCAUCCUUGAGAAUUGAGGUGGGAAUAUGUGUGUCCAUAAAGUGUUGGAGCUGGCAGUCAGGAGGUCAGUGUUGUAAGGGUUACCUGAGCUCGUGCACAGCUGGUGAGAUCCAAAGUGAGAACAAUGCCUGUUCAUAUCUCCUGGAAAUGGUGGCUUCCAGAGGAAGGAACAAGCAUGAGAGGUGGUGAAGCCAGAUGGAUGAGCUGGGUUCAAAGUCCUUCUAGAAGCUAUGGCAACAUAACUUAUGUAUCUGCUCAGAAAAGCCUUUGCAACUACUGUAAAUGACUUUAAGUGACCUUAUUUUCCUGCUAGCAGUGAAAUAAGCAGCUUCAAUGGGGAGGAGUAAACCCACUUCAUUACACAUGUUGCUAGGAAUAACACUCUUACUGGUUAUUACUAAUAACCCAAUCUAUUACUGGUAGUGUGGCUGCUGAAACAGGCAGUCUUAUCUGCCAGGGAAUAACUGUACUGCUCCAAAAUUUUGAAUGACAGUGGCACAAGGGGAGUCAGAAGGGCCUCAAGGGAGGAAACUCAGUAGGAAGCAAAGUCAACAUGGUGCACUUUGGUUAUAAACAACGUCUGUGACAAAUUAAAUGUGUCGGGGCCAGUCUAUCUUUUGAGGAUUUCUGCCAGGCAACCUGAGCUCUUUACAUCCUGAUGUUUUCCUAAGGUCAUCCUUGGUGUUUGUAUGUCAGGUCACGAGGUGAUGGAGGUGUUGGCUUAUUGGCUGAUCUUCUGGAGGAAAGAGGGGCUUCUAGACCUUGGAUGUGCAAAGCAGCUCAAUCUCAGGGCUUCAGUCCAGGAUUGAGGUAAAAUUUCUUCAUUGAAAUCAAUGGCAAAGUACCUGAUCACUACAGCAGAAGUGUUCUCACACAGCAAUGCCCUGGGAAGUUCUCUUUUCUCCUGGGAGAUUCUUCUCUUAUUUAUGCAAUUAUAAAUUCAUUGUAGCUCUGUUUGAAACAACCGUUUUCAUCUGAUGCAAAUAAGAUCAAGAUCUGGCCCAGGCUGCUUUUGUACACAAUGGAAACUGACUGAAUUAUGGAAAACAGGAAACAAAUCUAAUGUAAAUCUGAAUGGAAAUAUGCUCUGUUACAUCAGCAUAAAUUGGAAGGAAGUCUGUUGAUUCUAGUGGAAUUCAUCUGGAUUUACACCAGACUGUGUCUCAGCAUUUGUCAGUUGGCUGCACACAACUCAAAACAUCAAAACUCAACAUCAAAACUCAAACCAUGCCACCUCAUCUGAAUAGGUUUGAACAUUUUCUCCCUUUUCCUUUAUAUUUAAGCAGUUGCCUCUGCAACCUGAUGGCUGAUUAGCCUUUUCAAACAAAUAAACCCCUGCAAACAGGCAUCAACAAAUAAACCUUGCUCUUACUAUCGUUUGCAGUGAGAAUAAAUGAUGAAUAUGAAGUACUGAGCUUGGGUUUAGAGUCACUUAAACCUGCUCCUGCUCCUCUGUGUUCAUACUUUAGAGCAUUAGGAUUGAGCUCACAGGGGGCAGAUCUUGACAAAACCAUUCUGAUUUCUCCAAAGGAUGGAAAUCCCAAAGGCAAAUUCAUUGCCUUCUCGUGGCACUGGGAAGGGCCAGCAGCUUCCUAGGAUGCAUAGGAUUUACCCUUCAGUAGAUCAGCAAAAUACUGUCAUUCUUUCACUCUUUCUGUCUUCAGGAAGAUGGUCAGAAUGGAGCCAAAACCCUCCCUAAUGGAACUAAUAAGGAAUUAUUAGGGAAUUGUCACACUCUGUUUCCACAGGCAAGUUCCUGCGCAGGGGAACGUGGGAACCUGUGGGUACUUUUCAUGGGAAAGCAAGAGGGUUAAUUAAUGCCUGAGCAACAAAUUUGACUCCCUGAGUGAAAGCCACUGGAAAAACACAAUAUCUGAGCAAGAGCAUAGCCACAUCAACCCUUCCCUUGAUUCUCUUAUACCCCAGCUUCUUACUUAAUUCUGUUUUCAGUCUGUGCUCAUGUUUCUCUUCAGAUAAUUAGUAAAAUGCAUCUUAAUUAAAACAAGAGGAGGAGAAGAAUACAGAAACAAAUGAAAGUCCUAAGUCAGUGGGAUUUAGGGAGGGGCAAAGCCAGUAUUCAAAUACAAAUCUUGAGGCAAACAUGAUAAUAACAGUUAUGGAAAGUGCAUCAAAGGUAAAGAGUUUUCUGAAAAUGGGGUAACUUUCUGAAAAAAAAGACUGGCUAGAGCCUGAUGUCCAAGUACCACAGAGACUGACCUGAAAUCAGUUUCAUGGGGAGAAGAGCUGGGGGAGCUGUGUGGUCAGCAUUCUUUGUUUUCCUUUGUCACUGAUUUUCUGUAUGAACCUCAGGAAAUUAACUGGGCAAGAUUUUCACAAGUGACCCCUGUCUGUAGUUGCUAUGAUGUGUAGAUGUUCAACCUGAGAUGUACCAAAUCACCCUUUGCUGCACCAGUAGCAGCAGAGCACAUGUGGAUCUCAACCACAGGAUCUGAAUGUGCCAGCCACUCCCUCUCAGAAUCCUUAUGUUCCCAUCUGUAAACUGAUAA